Astyanax mexicanus (Mexican tetra) is the source of this 871-nucleotide long non-coding RNA. RefSeq lists it as uncharacterized. NCBI's taxonomy places the organism in Eukaryota, Metazoa, Chordata, Actinopteri, Characiformes, Acestrorhamphidae. The transcript is spliced from 3 exons. The record is from RefSeq and is a predicted model, not a curated record.
CCUAAAGCCAGCCGGAACUGGAGCAGCCUGUCUGCCCCAAAACUACCAACCAUGAAGAAGAGAACGAACCAAAUCACAGUGGGAAUACAUUGACUUUGAGAAAGAAAGAAAAAAAGAAAGAAAGAAAGUGACAUCAAUGCCAAUACUGAUUAACUCUGUUCUACAGUAAAGGCUUGAGACGACGCCAAUAUAUGAAGCAGAGUGGCCCUGUCAUUUGGAAUGUCCUUUCCACCAAUUUGGAGGAGUGCAGAACUGGGCGGAGUACAGUGGGGCUGUUCUUCUUCUUUUCCGCUGAUUUCUUACAUCUCUUGAUUGCUAAUUGUGUGAUUGCGGAAGAAGGCUACACAAAACCGUGCUACUGUUUACUACAACCACUGGAGAAACCAUGCACAAACAAACAACACAGGAUCUGAGCCUCUUCUACAGUCAUUCCUGAAGAUCUAUGGAGCACAUUCAUAUAGCAGAACAAUGUGUGAUGGGAUGGCAAAGCCAUUUCUAGUCCAACAUUUCUAGUUUAAACUGCACACAUAAUAUUGCCAGAUCAAUGUAUAAUUGGCCCUGCAGCUGCUGUUCACAAAGAAAAUAGAUUUUUUUUUUUUUUUUUUUGUACAUAACGACAUGAACUGAAUUGGGUCAUAAUUGUGUUUCUCAAGUAUUGUGAGAAAUAGCUAUUGAGCUUUACACAUUACACACACACACACACACAGCCCCGGUGUUGUAAUACAGUAGAGCUGUUAUACUAAGAGCAAGAGCAAUACAGCUGAAAGAACAAAUGCCUGGACUUCAUAUAUUAAAAAAAAGAGAGAAAUAAACAUGAACUAUUAACAUUUGCAUACAAUGAUCAUAAAAUAAUGAAUUUAUUUGCACUUUC